Molecule: unclassified non-coding RNA, 353 nt
Filed under: soil metagenome
Description: partial contains 5.8S ribosomal RNA, internal transcribed spacer 2, and large subunit ribosomal RNA
Rfam family: 5.8S ribosomal RNA (bases 1-120)
Source: RNAcentral
GAUGAAGAACGUAGCGAAAUGGGAUAAGUAAUGUGAAUUGCAGAAUUCAGUGAAUCAUCGAAUCUUUGAACGCACAUUGCGCCCGCGAGUAUUCUCGCGGGCAUGCCUGUCCGAGCGUCAUUUCAACCCUCAGGGCCCGCCUGCUUCGGCAGGCGCGGCGCUGGUGUUGGGGAUCGGCCUAACCGCCGUCCCCCAAAUACAGUGGCGGUCUCGCUGCAGCCUCCCCUGCGUAGUAGCAACACUCGCAUGCGGAGCGCGGCGCGGCCACGCCGUAAAACCCCCGACUUUCUGAACGUUGACCUCGGAUCAGGCAGGAAUACCCGCUGAACUUAAGCAUAUCAAUAAGCGGAGGA